This is a non-coding RNA of Ciona intestinalis (vase tunicate), 192 nucleotides long. NCBI's taxonomy places the organism in Eukaryota, Metazoa, Chordata, Ascidiacea, Phlebobranchia, Cionidae. The record is from Rfam.
AAGAUCAUACUUUUAGGGAUCAUUUAUACAGUGUGUAUCUUGAAAACGUCGUCAUAUUGUGCGAUGAUGAGUCGCAGGAUUUUCCUCUGAGCAUGAAGCUUUACUGUUUGUAAUUUUAUUUACAAACGGUAAUUGAGGAUUGUUUUCAUUGCUGUUGUAGUAAUGAAACGAGGAGAAUUCUUGCUGAGCAGU